AAGUCGUAAUAAGGUUUCUAUAGGUGAACCUGCGGAAGGAUUAUUACUGCUUGCUUAUGGCUGCCUGGCGGGGAAACCCCCUUAGUGGUAUAGUAACACCUACCCUUGACUAUAUAUACCUUUCGUUAUUUCCCUCGGCAGGGCAACCCGCUACUAGGGACAAUAAAACCCUCUUGUAUUAAGUAUUAAAACUUCUGAAACAAACCUAAAAUAUCACAACUUUUAAUAAUGGAUCUCUUGGUUCUG
Molecule: unclassified non-coding RNA, 246 nt
Filed under: fungal sp.
Lineage: Eukaryota; Fungi
Description: partial internal transcribed spacer region
Source: RNAcentral